Molecule: small nucleolar RNA, 68 nt
Organism: Myotis daubentonii (Daubenton's bat)
Lineage: Eukaryota; Metazoa; Chordata; Mammalia; Chiroptera; Vespertilionidae
Product: small nucleolar RNA SNORD34
Source: RefSeq, a predicted model, not a curated record
GUGUCUGUGAUGAUCCACGAUUACCUACAUUGUUUGAGCCUCAUGAGAACAGCACCGGCUGAGACACC